AGAGUUUGAUCCUGGCUCAGGAUGAACGCUGGCGGCGUGCUUAACACAUGCAAGUCGAGCGAAGCGCUUUUGUAGAUUUCUUCGGAAUGAAGCGGAAGUGACUGAGCGGCGGACGGGUGAGUAACGCGUGGGUAACCUGCCUCAUACAGGGGGAUAACAGUUGGAAACGGCUGCUAAUACCGCAUAAGCGCACAGUACCGCAUGGUACGGUGUGAAAAACUCCGGUGGUAUGAGAUGGACCCGCGUCUGAUUAGGUAGUUGGUGGGGUAACGGCCUACCAAGCCGACGAUCAGUAGCCGACCUGAGAGGGUGACCGGCCACAUUGGGACUGAGACACGGCCCAAACUCCUACGGGAGGCAGCAGUGGGGAAUAUUGCACAAUGGGGGAAACCCUGAUGCAGCGACGCCGCGUGAGCGAAGAAGUAUUUCGGUAUGUAAAGCUCUAUCAGCAGGGAAGAAAAUGACGGUACCUGACUAAGAAGCCCCGGCUAACUACGUGCCAGCAGCCGCGGUAAUACGUAGGGGGCAAGCGUUAUCCGGAUUUACUGGGUGUAAAGGGAGCGUAGACGGCAUGGCAAGCCAGAUGUGAGAGCCCGGGGCUCAACCCCGGGACUGCAUUUGGAACUGUCAGGCUAGAGUGUCGGAGAGGUAAGCGGAAUUCCUAGUGUAGCGGUGAAAUGCGUAGAUAUUAGGAGGAACACCAGUGGCGAAGGCGGCUUACUGGACGAUGACUGACGUUGAGGCUCGAAAGCGUGGGGAGCAAACAAGAUUAGAUACCCUGGUAGUCCACGCCGUAAACGACCUAAAAUAGGUGUCGGGGGGCAAAACCCUUCUGGGGCCGCAGCAAACGCAAUAAGUGUUCCACCUCGGGAGUACGUACGCAAGAAUGAAACUCAAAGGAAUUGACGGGGACCCGCACAAGCGGUGGAGCAUGUGGUGUAGUUAGAAGCAACACGAAGAACCUUACCUGGUCUUGACAUCCCUCUGACCGUCCUUUAAUCGGGGCUUUCCUUCGGGACAGAGGAGACAGGUGGUGCAUGGUUGUCGUCAGCUCGUGUCGUGAGAUGUUGGGUUAAGUCCCGCAACGAGCGCAACCCCUAUCUUUAGUAGCCAGCAUUUGAGGUGGGCACUCUAGAGAGACUGCCAGGGAUAACCUGGAGGAAGGUGGGGAUGACGUCAAAUCAUCAUGCCCCUUAUGACCAGGGCUACACACGUGCUACAAUGGCGUAAACAAAGGGGAGCGAGCCCGCGAGGGGGAGCAAAUCCCAAAAAUAACGUCUCAGUUCGGAUUGUAGUCUGCAACUCGACUACAUGAAGCUGGAAUCGCUAGUAAUCGCGAAUCAGAAUGUCGCGGUGAAUACAAACCCGGGUCUUGCACUCACCGCCCGUCA
Molecule: ribosomal RNA, 1391 nt
Filed under: uncultured bacterium
Lineage: Bacteria
Description: bacterial SSU rRNA
Rfam family: Bacterial small subunit ribosomal RNA
Source: RNAcentral